This 468-nucleotide ribosomal RNA is filed under the name uncultured bacterium. RNAcentral's name for it is "partial 16S ribosomal RNA". It matches the Rfam family "Bacterial small subunit ribosomal RNA", at positions 28 to 507 of the family's 1533-position model. The record is from RNAcentral.
GACGAACGCUGGCGGCGUGCUUAACACAUGCAAGUCGAACGGAAAGGCCCUGCUUUUGUGGGGUGCUCGAUUGGCGAACGGGUGAGUAACACGUGAGUAACCUGCCCUUGACUUUGGGAUAACUUCAGGAAACUGGGGCGAAUACCGGAUAGGAUCUCCUGCAGCAUAGUGGGGGUUGGAAAGUUUCGGCGGUGGUGGAUGGACUCGCGGCUUAUCAGCUGGUUGGUGGGGUAGUGGCUUACCAGGCCUUUGACGGGUAGCCGGCCUGAGAGGGUGACCGGCCACAAUGGGACUGAGAUACGGACCAGACUCCUACGGGCGGCAGCAGUGGCAAAUAUUGCACAAUGAGCGGAAGCCUGAUGCAGCAACGCCGCGUGCGGGAUAACGGCCUUCGGGUUAUAAACCGCUUUCGCCUGUGACGAAGCGUGAGUGACGGUAAUGGGUAAAGAAGCCCCGGCUAACUACGUG